Molecule: long non-coding RNA, 1134 nt
Filed under: Setaria viridis
Lineage: Eukaryota; Viridiplantae; Streptophyta; Magnoliopsida; Poales; Poaceae
Description: long non-coding RNA (SVIR_LNC010769)
Source: RNAcentral
GAAAGGCAACUUAAUUGUGCAACACAGUACCAAAUCUAUUUUUGAGAGAUCCCAAGACUUGUUCAACUUUGUCAAAGCUGUGUUGUAGCUGUCUUGUAUGAAUUUAUCAGGUUCAAUUUUUAGCUUGUCCUUGAAAAAAAGUUAGAAACUAUAAAACAGGGGCACAUAUGAUGGUAAUAAAAAAUUGCAAAAUAGAAUUCAAAUCUCACAGUGAGAACAGUAGAUAAAGCAAAUUUCUUAACGAUGUUAUUGUCCUUCUCACGCAAUUCAGCUUCUUCAAUGUUGAAUUCAUAGGACCAUAAAAUCACCACGUGGUUAUUAAUUUCCCCCCUUUGCUUCAAGGAUCCAUAGAAUUCAUCAUAAGUAACAUGGAAGCCAUCAAUUCGAACAAAUGGUGGGCUGGGAUAAAAAAACUAAAUUAGGAUUUGAAACAUUUAACUACACGUACUAAAACAUGUGAAACAUACAGAAGGAACAUUGGGGGGAAAAAUGUACUGCUAUAACAUGAGUACUACAUGCUUGAAACAUCUAACUACACCUACUGAAACAUGUGAAACAUACAGAAGGAACAUUGGGAAAAAAUGAACUGCUGUAACAUGAGUACUACAUACUUGAAACAUCUAACUACUCCUAAUGAAACAUGUGAAACAUACAUAAGGAACAUUGGGAAAAAAUUGAACUGCUGUAACAUGAGUACAACAUACUUGAAACAUCUAACUAGACCUACUGAAACAUGUGAAACAUACAGAAGAAACAUCGAGAAAGACAUAAAGAGUUGAUCACGGUUGUUCUUGUUCAUCAUUAUUCGCAUUUGGAUUGAUUGGCACUUUCUUCAUUAUCCUCUUGUUGAGAUACUUGUUAUAUGCAGUAACAAUUUCAUCAUCUAACUUAAUUCUCUUCAAUUUCUUUCCUUGGUUCAGAUGGAUGGCAGCCCUCUUCCUCCUGUUUUUCUUGUCAAAUGUACUUGACCCAGGCUUGUUAACAAUAGUCUCAUCAAUGGUGAGAUCAACUGCAAACACAAGAAUAACAAAAUACUCAAAUAUGUGUAAGAAAACAGGAUUGAAAAUGGAGACAAAAAAAGGUAAAGAAAAGUGACCCAAAGUAGAUGCUGCUGCCGCUGGGGUCAAACAAUCU